Molecule: ribosomal RNA, 253 nt
Filed under: uncultured bacterium
Lineage: Bacteria
Description: partial 16S ribosomal RNA
Rfam family: Bacterial small subunit ribosomal RNA
Source: RNAcentral
UACGAGGGGGGCAAGCGUUGUUCGGAAUUAUUGGGCGUAAAGGGCGCGUAGGCGGUUUGACAAGUCUGAUGUGAAAUCUAUGGGCUCAACCCAUAGCCUGCAUUAGAAACUGUCGGGCUUGAGUAUGGGAGAGGUGAGUGGAAUUUCCGGUGUAGCAGUGAAAUGCGUAGAUAUCGAGAGGAACACCAGUGGCGAAGGCGAGUCCCUGGACAGAUCCUGACGCUGAGGCACGAAAGCUAGGGGAGCAAACAGG